GACGAACGCUGGCGGCGUGCUUAACACAUGCAAGUCGUACGGUAAGGCCCUUUCGGGGGUCCACGAGUGGCGAACGGGUGAGUAACACGUGAGUAACCUGCCCACAACUUUGGGAUAACGCUAGGAAACUGGUGCUAAUACUGGAUAUGUGCUCCUGCUGCAUGGUGGGGGUUGGAAAGCUCCGGCGGUUGUGGAUGGACUCGCGGCCUAUCAGCUUGUUGGUGGGGUAGUGGCCUACCAAGGCGGCGACGGGUAGCCGGCCUGGGAGGGUGACCGGCCAAAUUGGGACUGAGAUACGGCCCAGACGCCGACGGGAGGAAGAAGGGGGGAAUAUUGAACAAGGGGCGCAAGCCUGAUGCAGAAACGCCGCGUGCGGGAUGACGGCCUUCGGGUUGGAAACCGCUUUCAGCAGGGACGAAGCUUUUUGUGACGGUACCUGCAGAAGAAGCACCGGCUAACUACGUG
Molecule: ribosomal RNA, 465 nt
Filed under: uncultured bacterium
Lineage: Bacteria
Description: partial 16S ribosomal RNA
Rfam family: Bacterial small subunit ribosomal RNA
Source: RNAcentral